UACCAGCUCUCCGAGUGGUGUGGAUGUUUAUUGGGCCUAAAGCAUCCGUAGCUGGCCAAGUUAGUCCCCUGUUAAACCCACCGAAUUAAUCGUUGGUUUGCGGGGGAUACUGCUCGGCUAGGGGACGAGAGAGGCAGACGGUAUUUUCGGGGUAGGGGUGAAAUCCUAUAAUCCCGGGAAGACCACCAGUGGCGAAGGCUGUCUGCUAGAACGCGCCCGACGGUGAGGGAUGAAAGCUGGGGGAGCGAACCGG
Molecule: ribosomal RNA, 253 nt
Filed under: uncultured bacterium
Lineage: Bacteria
Description: partial 16S ribosomal RNA
Rfam family: Archaeal small subunit ribosomal RNA
Source: RNAcentral